GGAUCCCAUCAGAACUCCGCAGUUAAGCGUGCUUGGGCGAGAGUAUUACUAGGAUGGGU
This 59-nucleotide ribosomal RNA is filed under the name Beta vulgaris subsp. maritima. Lineage: Eukaryota; Viridiplantae; Streptophyta; Magnoliopsida; Caryophyllales; Amaranthaceae. The record is from RNAcentral.